CAGUAGCCGCGGGAAUACGUAGGUGGCAAGCGUUGUCCGGAAUUAUUGGGCGUAAAGCGCGCGCAGGCGGCCUAUCCAGUCUGUCUUAAAAGUUCGGGGCUUAACCCCGUGAUGGGAUGGAAACUGCCAAUCUAGAGUAUCGGAGAGGAAAGUGGAAUUCCUAGUGUAGCGGUGAAAUGCGUAGAUAUUAGGAAGAACACCAGUGGCGAAGGCGACUUUCUGGACGAAAACUGACGCUGAGGCGCGAAAGCCAGGGGAGCGAACGGGAUUAGAUACCCGUGUAGUCCCUGUCUCUUAUACC
Molecule: ribosomal RNA, 301 nt
Filed under: uncultured bacterium
Lineage: Bacteria
Description: partial 16S ribosomal RNA
Rfam family: Bacterial small subunit ribosomal RNA
Source: RNAcentral